This 442-nucleotide ribosomal RNA is filed under the name uncultured bacterium. Its description in RNAcentral is "partial 16S ribosomal RNA". It matches the Rfam family "Bacterial small subunit ribosomal RNA", at positions 338 to 795 of the family's 1533-position model. The record is from RNAcentral.
CCUACGGGGAGCAGCAGUGGGGAAUAGUGGGCAAUGGGCGCAAGCCUGACCCAGCGACGCCGCGUGAGGGAAGACGGUCUUCGGAUUGGAAACCUCUAUCAGCAGGGAAGACAAAAGGACGGGACCUGCAGAAGAAGCCACGGCUAACUACGUGCCAGCAGCCGCGGUAAGACGGAGGAGGCGAGCGUUAUCCGGAAUGACGGGGCGUAAAGGGUGCGUAGGGGGUGUGGCAAGUUAGUAGCGUAACUCCCAGGCUCAACCUUGGAACUACUACUAAAACUGUUGGCCUUGAGUGCAGGAGUGUCAACCGGCAUUCCUCUUGUAGCGGUUGAAUGCGUAGAUAUUAGGCGGAACCCCAGUGGCGACGGCGUGUUGCUAGCCUGUACCUGACCCUGAGGCACGAAAGCGUGGGGAGCAAACAGGAUUAGAUACCCUUGUAGUC